RNAcentral lists this ribosomal RNA (233 nucleotides) under uncultured bacterium. Its description in RNAcentral is "partial 16S ribosomal RNA". It matches the Rfam family "Bacterial small subunit ribosomal RNA", at positions 87 to 339 of the family's 1533-position model. The record is from RNAcentral.
GUGGAAGAGUGGCGAACGGGUGAGGAACACGUAAGAAUCUGCCCCUCGGUCGGGGACAACUUUUGGAAACGAAAGCUAAUACCCGAUACGCUGUGGAGUGAAAGAAUUUCGCCGAGGGAUGAUCUUGCGUCUGAUUAGCUAGUUGGUGCGGUAAUGGCGCACCAAGGCGACGAUCAGUAGCUGGUCUGAGAGGAUGAACAGCCACAUUGGAACUGAGACACGGUCCAAACUCC